ACAUACCUCUGGUGUACCAGUUGUCGUGCCAACGGCAUAGCUGGGUAGCUAUGUGUGGACGGGAUAAGUGCUGAAAGCAUCUAAGCAUGAAGCCCCCCUCAAGAUGAGAUUUCCCAACUUCGGUUAUAAGAUCCCUCAAAGAUGAUGAGGUUAAUAGGUUCGAGGUGGAAGCAUGGUGACAUGUGGAGCUGACGAAUACUAAUCGAUCGAAGACUUAAUCAAAUU
This 225-nucleotide ribosomal RNA is filed under the name Staphylococcus aureus. RNAcentral's name for it is "partial 23S ribosomal RNA". It matches the Rfam family "Bacterial large subunit ribosomal RNA", at positions 2701 to 2925 of the family's 2925-position model. The record is from RNAcentral. Lineage: Bacteria; Bacillati; Bacillota; Bacilli; Caryophanales; Staphylococcaceae.